RNAcentral lists this ribosomal RNA (417 nucleotides) under Triticum aestivum (bread wheat). RNAcentral's name for it is "partial small subunit ribosomal RNA". The record is from RNAcentral. Lineage: Eukaryota; Viridiplantae; Streptophyta; Magnoliopsida; Poales; Poaceae.
AUGUCUGGAGGUGCCAUCCUGGAGUUUGAUUUUCAAAACCAGAGCCUUGCAGUGACCCAGAAGCCGGCAGACGCUCAUCCGAUUUUACAUGGAGCUCCCGACCACUACUGGUCCUUUUACGCGGUACGGACAGAGCAUAGUGGCCUGGGCCUUGCUGCUUUGUCAGAAACAGAUUAUGUAAGCAAGAUAAUCCAAUUAUGGGAGAGGAAAUCUAACUGCGAUGGUGUUGUUGAAUGGGAGCUGCAGAAAACCAUUCAACUAGACGGCCUCUUUUCACCAGGACCAGAAAUGGGGCAAAAUGCGGUGUCGAUGCAGGGGUACGAUGAGGACACCAAUGCGAUUUUCCUAUCUACCUUUUUCGGCGACUACAUGCUCCAGCUUGAGUCCAUGCAGUUCACAAAGAAAUUGCAUGUCUAG